GACGAACGCUGGCGGCGUGCUUAACACAUGCAAGUCGAACGGAAAGGCCCGGCUUUUGUGGGGUGCACGAGUGGCGAACGGGGGAGUAACACGUGAGUAACCUGCCCCUGACUUUGGGAGAACUUCAGGAAACUGGGGCUAAUACCGGAGAGGAGCUCCUGCUGCAUGGUGGGGGUUGGAAAGUUUCGGCGGUUGGGGCUGGACUCGCGGCUUAUCAGCUUGUUGGUGGGGUAGUGGCUUACCAAGGCUUUGACGGGUAGCCGGCCUGAGAGGGUGGCCGGCCACCAUGGGACUGAGAUACGGCCCAGACGCGUACGGGAGGCAACGGUGGGAAAUAUUGCACAAUGGGCGGAAGCCUGAUGCAGCAACGCCGCGUGCGUGAUGCUGGCCUUCUGGUUGUGAACCGCUGUCGCCUGUGACGAGGCGUGAGUGACGGUAAUGGGUCAAGAAGCACCGGCUAACUACGUG
Molecule: ribosomal RNA, 468 nt
Filed under: uncultured bacterium
Lineage: Bacteria
Description: partial 16S ribosomal RNA
Rfam family: Bacterial small subunit ribosomal RNA
Source: RNAcentral